RNAcentral lists this transfer RNA (74 nucleotides) under Sus scrofa (pig). It matches the Rfam family "tRNA". Rfam says of the family: Transfer RNA (tRNA) molecules are approximately 80 nucleotides in length. Their secondary structure includes four short double-helical elements and three loops (D, anti-codon, and T loops). Lineage: Eukaryota; Metazoa; Chordata; Mammalia; Artiodactyla; Suidae. The record is from Rfam by way of RNAcentral.
UCCCUGGUGGCCUAGCAGGUUAAGGACCUGGCAUUGUCACUGCCAUGGUGCAGGUUCGAUCCCUGGCCCAGGAA